CCACUACUUUAGAGCAAUUCAAAUGAGGUACAGCCCAUUUGAUAUAGGAUACAACCUUCACUAACGGGUAAAACCCCCACUCACACCUUAAAGUAGGCCUAAAAGCGCCUGUGCGUGCUAAUUCAAAAAUCCAUAUUAACCCCUUCAACUAUAUUGAGAACUUCUAUAACUAUAUAGAACCUUUCAUGCUAAAACUAGUAACAAGAGAAAAUCCUCUCCCUAAUGCAAACAUAAGCCAGCAAGAACCCAUCACUGGCAAUUAACAGCCCUAAACAAAAUAGCAACCUCACUAGAAAACCCUACUCCCCCAACUGUUAACCUAACACUAGAGCAUUUCAAGAAAGAUUAAAAGAAAAAGAAGGAACUCGGCAAACUCCAGUCCCGCCUGUUUACCAAAAACAUCGCCUCUUGCUCUCUAUAAGAGGUCUAACCUGCCCAGUGACUCUGUUCAACGGCCGCGGUAUCCUAACCGUGCGAAGGUAGCGUAAUCACUUGUUUUCUAAAUAAAGACCUGUAUGAAAGGUAUAACGAGGACUAAACUGUCUCCUUUUUCCAAUCAGUGAACCUAAUCUCCCCGUGAAGAAGCGGGGAUUUCUAUAUAAGACGAGAAGACCCUAUGGAGCUUAAAACAUCAUAACACCUGCCACCCACCUUUAAUUACCCAAGUAUUCCUUCAACCGGCACCCUGAUUCUAUGUUUUUGGUUGGGGUGACCGCGGAGAAAACCUCAUCCUCCGCAAUGAAAGGGGAUUUUCCCCUAAACAAUAAGUUACAACUUUAUGUAUCAACAAAUUGACAUCCAUUGACCCAAUAAAUUGAUUAAUGAACCAAGUUACCCUAGGGAUAACAGCGCAAUCCACUUUAAGAGCCCCUAUCGACAAGUGGGCUUACGACCUCGAUGUUGGAUCGGGAUAUCCUAGUGGUGCAGCCGCUACUAAGGGUUCGUUUGUUCAACGAUUAAAAUCCCACGUGAUCUGAGUUCAGACCGGAGCAAUCCAGGUCAGUUUCUAUCUAUAAUAGCGCUAAUUUCAGUACGAAAGGACCAAAAUAGCAUGGCCAAUGCCCCCGCAAGCCGUACUUAAUCAUUUAAGCCCAAAACUCAAAAAAUAACUAAC
Molecule: ribosomal RNA, 1114 nt
Filed under: Pristimantis paladines
Lineage: Eukaryota; Metazoa; Chordata; Amphibia; Anura; Strabomantidae
Description: partial large subunit ribosomal RNA
Rfam family: Archaeal large subunit ribosomal RNA
Source: RNAcentral